RNAcentral lists this ribosomal RNA (232 nucleotides) under uncultured bacterium. Its description in RNAcentral is "partial 16S ribosomal RNA". It matches the Rfam family "Bacterial small subunit ribosomal RNA", at positions 545 to 776 of the family's 1533-position model. The record is from RNAcentral.
CCGGAUUUACUGGGCGGAAAGAGCGCGCAGGCGGCUGGGCAAGUCCGAUGUGAAAGCUUCCGGCUUAACUGGAAAAUUGCAUCGGAAACUGCUCGGCUUGAAGGUGGGAGAGGGUAGCGGAAUUCCCGGUGUAGUGGUGAAAUGCGUAGAUAUCGGGAGGAACACCAGUGGCGAAGGCGGCUACCUGGCCCACUCUUGACGCUGAGGCGCGAAAGCGUGGGGAGCGAACAGG